UAGAAUGCUAUUGUAAUCCAG
RNAcentral lists this microRNA (21 nucleotides) under Arabidopsis thaliana (thale cress). RNAcentral describes it as "ath-miR406". Its record names the gene ath-miR406. The record is from miRBase by way of RNAcentral. Lineage: Eukaryota; Viridiplantae; Streptophyta; Magnoliopsida; Brassicales; Brassicaceae.